RNAcentral lists this long non-coding RNA (337 nucleotides) under Capsella rubella. RNAcentral's name for it is "long non-coding RNA (CRUB_LNC001393)". The record is from RNAcentral. Lineage: Eukaryota; Viridiplantae; Streptophyta; Magnoliopsida; Brassicales; Brassicaceae.
CUCGGGCUAGCGUGAGUCCUCCUUGGCCAAAAUAUUAUUAUUACUUUUUUUGGACAAGGCCAAAAUAUUUUUAUAUCAGAUUUAUUUGGUGGUAUCAAAAUAAUAAUUCUGAUUUUUUUUCUUUUUUUUUUUGGGAUUUGCAGCAUUUAAAUUCGGGCACUACACUAAAAAGUCACUAGCUAACAAAGUAACAAGUAACAACAAUACUAUUGUUUUCAUUGUGUGAGAAAAUAUCAAAAUAAGCUCUCUAAUUUUUUUUAUAACUCACUAUGAUUAAAAUCAAAUGUCAAAUUAUUAUUUUAUACAUUAUUUUUUGAUAAAGCAAAUUAAUUCAUAC